CAGCCGCCACGGUAAUACGAAUGGUGCAAGCGUUAAUCGGAAUUACUGGGCGUAAAGCGUGCGUAGGCGGUGAGUUAAGUCUGCUGUGAAAUCCCCGGGCUCAACCUGGGAAUGGCAGUGGAUACUGGCUCGCUAGAGUGUGUCAGAGGAUGGUGGAAUUCCCGGUGUAGCGGUGAAAUGCGUAGAGAUCGGGAGGAACAUCAGUGGCGAAGGCGGCCAUCUGGGACAACACUGACGCUGAGGCACGAAAGCGUGGGGAGCAAACAGGAUUAGAUACCCCCGUAGUCCCUGUCUCUUAUAC
This 301-nucleotide ribosomal RNA is filed under the name uncultured bacterium. Its description in RNAcentral is "partial 16S ribosomal RNA". It matches the Rfam family "Bacterial small subunit ribosomal RNA", at positions 509 to 807 of the family's 1533-position model. The record is from RNAcentral.